ACGACCUUACUUGUACAGGAUCUGUUCUAUAGGCUCGUACCUUUGUAUCCUUAAGUUUUGUGACUCGGUAGGUGGGUGCUACUCCUGCGCCGGACGUGUU
Molecule: small nucleolar RNA, 100 nt
Filed under: Vigna radiata var. radiata (mung bean)
Lineage: Eukaryota; Viridiplantae; Streptophyta; Magnoliopsida; Fabales; Fabaceae
Description: snoRNA Plant_U3
Source: RNAcentral